GAGGGUAUAGCUCAGUGGUAAAGUGCAAGCUUAGCAUGCAUAACGUCCUGGGUUCAAUCCCCAGUACCUCCA
Transfer RNA from Camelus ferus (Wild Bactrian camel), 72 nucleotides. It matches the Rfam family "tRNA". Rfam says of the family: Transfer RNA (tRNA) molecules are approximately 80 nucleotides in length. Their secondary structure includes four short double-helical elements and three loops (D, anti-codon, and T loops). NCBI's taxonomy places the organism in Eukaryota, Metazoa, Chordata, Mammalia, Artiodactyla, Camelidae. The record is from Rfam.